Molecule: ribosomal RNA, 256 nt
Filed under: Streptococcus agalactiae MRI Z1-211
Lineage: Bacteria; Bacillati; Bacillota; Bacilli; Lactobacillales; Streptococcaceae
Description: partial 16S ribosomal RNA
Rfam family: Bacterial small subunit ribosomal RNA
Source: RNAcentral
UUUAAUGAGAGUUUGAUCCUGGCUCAGGACGAACGCUGGCGGCGUGCCUAAUACAUGCAAGUAGAACGCUGAGGUUUGGUGUUUACACUAGACUGAUGAGUUGCGAACGGGUGAGUAACGCGUAGGUAACCUGCCUCAUAGCGGGGGAUAACUAUUGGAAACGAUAGCUAAUACCGCAUAAGAGUAAUUAACACAUGUUAGUUAUUUAAAAGGAGCAAUUGCUUCACUGUGAGACGGACCUGCGUUGCAUUAGCUA